UAGGGANUCUUCGGCAAUGGGGGCAACCCUGACCGAGCAACGCCGCGUGAGUGAAGAAGGUUUUCGGAUCGUAAAGCUCUGUUGUAAGUCAAGAACGAGUGUGAGAGUGGAAAGUUCACACUGUGACGGUAGCUUACCAGAAAGGGACGGCUAACUACGUGCCAGCAGCCGCGGUAAUACGUAGGUCCCGAGCGUUGUCCGGAUUUAUUGGGCGUAAAGCGAGCGCAGGCGGUUUGAUAAGUCUGAAGUUAAAGGCUGUGGCUCAACCAUAGUUCGCUUUGGAAACUGUCAAACUUGAGUGCAGAAGGGGAGAGUGGAAUUCCAUGUGUAGCGGUGAAAUGCGUAGAUAUAUGGAGGAACACCGGUGGCGAAAGCGGCUCUCUGGUCUGUAACUGACGCUGAGGCUCGAAAGCGUGGGGAGCGAACAGGANUAGAUACCCUGGUAGUCCACGCCGUNNCGAUGAGUGCUAGGUGUUGGAUCCUUUCCGGGAUUCAGUGCCGCAGCUAANNCANUAANCACUCCGCCUGGGGAGUACNACCGCANGGUUG
Molecule: ribosomal RNA, 549 nt
Filed under: uncultured bacterium
Lineage: Bacteria
Description: bacterial SSU rRNA
Rfam family: Bacterial small subunit ribosomal RNA
Source: RNAcentral